Chenopodium quinoa (quinoa) is the source of this 798-nucleotide long non-coding RNA. RefSeq lists it as uncharacterized. The transcript is spliced from 3 exons. The record is from RefSeq and is a predicted model, not a curated record. Lineage: Eukaryota; Viridiplantae; Streptophyta; Magnoliopsida; Caryophyllales; Amaranthaceae.
UUUUCCCUCUUUUCUCCAUCCAUUUAUGCUAUUCACACUUUCCAUCUCCUUAAUCAAUGGAGAGGCUCAAAAGUCUCUCUGAAAUUUUACCCCAAUCUUUAGAUUCUUACUCCUCACCAAACUCUAACUUCUUAACAAGAAUUGAACGACCAAAUCCAAACCCUAGUGUCCGACUCAAUCGAUCCAUCAAACCGCAAAAUGACCGAUGAUACGGCUAACGGGAUCAAUUCGGCGGCGAAGAAAAGACGGCGAGCCGUAGAAAUCGCCGUCUUCGUAUAAUGGAGUUGCUACUGCCGGAAAUCCCUCCCUCUCUUUUCAAUUUUUUGCUCAACAGAUCCCUAAAUUUCAUUCUCACUCUUCAAUUUCCAUUAUGGAGCUGGUGUUGCCGGACAUAACAACCCUAUAUCUAUUACUCUUUUUCCAACCUACUAACAAAAUAUUUGAAGUUAUAAAGGAUGUGACAACAAUCCCAACAGCCAGUACUUGCAAAAAGGGAAGCAUCGAAGGAAGGAGUUGAGGAGAUUGUGAAUGAUCAUGGCCUAGUUCAGCAUUGCUGCUACUUAUGUUGCUCUUUACUUCUACCUAGCCUUGAGCAUUGUAAAAAAAUUUAAUAUUUUUUGUUUGAUGAAAUUGUAACAGUACACCACAAGCAUUUAUUAAUAAAAAUACCUAAGUUUAUAUAUAAUGGAUUUUUUAUUGAUUAUUAUUUUUUUAGGCAUAAAGGGCACCGAAUUAAGGGGAAAACUAGUGCCCUUAAAGACCCUUGAAUUGGUGUCCUUAACCUCUGUCAUGUGCAAC